Molecule: ribosomal RNA, 406 nt
Filed under: uncultured bacterium
Lineage: Bacteria
Description: partial 16S ribosomal RNA
Rfam family: Bacterial small subunit ribosomal RNA
Source: RNAcentral
AUUGAACGCUGGCGGCAGGCCUAACACAUGCAAGUCGAACGAGUGGCGGACGGGUGAGUAAUGUCUUGGAAACUGCCCGAGGGAGGGGGAUAACUACUGGGAACAGUAGCUAAUAACCCAUACUAUUGCAUGUGCCCAAAUGGGAUUAGCUAGUUGGGGGGGUAACGGCUCACCUAGGCGCCGAUCCCUAGCUGGUCUGAGAGGAUGACCAGCCACACUGGAACUGAGACACGGUCCAGACUCCUACGGGAGGCAGCAGUGGGGAAUAUUGCACAAUGGGCGCAAGCCUGAUGCAGCCAUGCCGCGUGUAUGAAGAAGGCCUUCGGGUUGUAAAGUACUUUCAGCGAGGAGGCGUUACUCGCAGAAGAAGCACCGGCUAACUCCGUGCCAGCAGCCGCGGUAAUUC